CAAAAUGUAGCUAAAUUAGUAAAGCACCUCCCUUACACUGAGGUAAAGCCCAUGCAACUUGGGCCAUUUUGA
This 72-nucleotide transfer RNA is filed under the name Etmopterus pusillus (smooth lanternshark). RNAcentral's name for it is "tRNA-Val". It matches the Rfam family "tRNA". Rfam says of the family: Transfer RNA (tRNA) molecules are approximately 80 nucleotides in length. Their secondary structure includes four short double-helical elements and three loops (D, anti-codon, and T loops). Further hydrogen bonds mediate the characteristic L-shaped molecular structure. tRNAs have two regions of fundamental functional importance: the anti-codon, which is responsible for specific mRNA codon recognition, and the 3' end, to which the tRNAs corresponding amino acid is attached (by aminoacyl-tRNA synthetases). tRNAs cope with the degeneracy of the genetic code in two manners: having more than one tRNA (with a specific anti-codon) for a particular amino acid; and 'wobble' base-pairing, i.e. permitting non-standard base-pairing at the 3rd anti-codon position. Lineage: Eukaryota; Metazoa; Chordata; Chondrichthyes; Squaliformes; Etmopteridae. The record is from RNAcentral.